Molecule: long non-coding RNA, 1422 nt
Filed under: Anser brachyrhynchus (Pink-footed goose)
Lineage: Eukaryota; Metazoa; Chordata; Aves; Anseriformes; Anatidae
Description: lncRNA (ENSABRG00000011433.1)
Source: RNAcentral
CCUUUGCUGGCGUAUGUGCCACAGUUGGUCAUCCCUUGACCCACGGCUGGGCUGCUGUCACCCCACAGCUGCCCUUGGCCCAUGGUUGGGCUGUCCUUGCCCCCACUGCUGGGUGUCCAUCAUCCCACAGUUAUCCUUGCCCUGUGGCUGGGCAUCCAUCGCCCCAUGGCUGCCAUCACCCCGUAGCCACCCUCAACCCAUGGCUGCCCUCGCCCCAGGGCUGGGACAUCCUUACUCCAUGGUUGGGUGCCCAUUACCCCAACCAUGAUUACCCCACAGCUGUCCUUGCCCCACAGCUGGGCCAUAUUCACCCCUUGGCUCCUCCUGUCCCAUGACUGGGACAUCUUUACCCCAUGGCUGGGUGUCCAUCACACCAUGGUUGGGUGUCCACUGACCAACGGCUGGGCCACCCUCACUCCAUAGCUGCCGUCACCCCGCAUCACCCCAUGGCUGCUCUCACCCUAUGACUGGGUCCUUUUUACUCCAUGAUUUAGUGUCCACCAUCCCACAGCUGUCCUUGCCCCAUGGCUGGGCCAUACUCAUCCCACAGUUGGGUGUCCAUAAACCCACGGUUAGGUGUCCAUAACCCCAUGACUGGGUGCCCAUAACCCCAUAGCAGGACCGCCGCCACCUCACUCUGCCCUCACCCCACAGCUUGGUGCCCAACACCCCACGCCAGGACCACCCUCACCCCACACCAAGACCACCCUCACCCCACAGCUGGCUGUCCAUCACCCCACAGUAGGCCCACCCCUUCCCCACAGCCACCCUCGCCCCCUCCCUCCCGUCCUCUCCCCCAGCCGGGGGUCCCGUCGGGGAGCUCCGCGUGGUCCCUGUGCCCACCCACCCCAUUUCCCCCUUCCCAUGGGACCGACCCCCCUCUCCCCACAGCCCAGGGGGGCGAGCAGCCCAUCCCCACGCGUACCAGGAAUACCCACCCCGCGGGUGGGAACACCGCGCUCCUCCCCGGCUUUUAAUCCCGCUGCUCCGGCACCGCAUCGCUGCAAAAAUAAGGGGCGAGAUCGGGGAUGGCAGUGGACGGAGGGCUUGCGGUGGACAUCAGCCCCUGAACAAACCCCCCUGCCCCAUCCUGGUUGGGACAACUGGGGAACGGUGGGAUCCUGGAGGAGCUCCCCGUGUCUGCCCAGGUGGAUCGCGGACGGAGUUUUUUGGAGCUGCCGGGGCAGCAGCCACGCGCUCCAUCCCGCUGCCGUCGCUGCAAGGAGAAAGCAACCCAGGGAAGAAGACAAAGUGCCACAGGUAAUUAACCACAGUGAUGGGGAAAGGGCGAGAGGAAGGAUUGAGCACGGGGUCGGAGAGAGAGGGAUGCUGCGAGACGUCUCAGCCAGAGCAGCAGUGGGAAGGCAACGGGGAAAUACCCAAUUUUCCUGGGGGAAAUACCCAAGGGGAUGAGAUAAGGGG